GUGACGAGUGGCGGACGGGUGAGUAUUUCGAGAAUGCCCGAUGGAGGGGGAUACUACUGAAACGGUAGCUAAUACCGCAUAACGUCGCAAGACCAAAGAGGGGGACCUUCGGGCCUCUUGCCAUCGGAUGUGCCCAGAUGGGAUUAGCUAGUAGUGGGGUAACGGCUCACCUAGCGACGAUCCCUAGCUGGUCUGAGAGGAUGACCAGCCACACUGGAACUGAGACACGGUCCAGACUCCUACGGGAGGCAGCAGUGGGGAAUAUUGCACAAUGGGCGCAAGCCUGAUGCAGCCAUGCCGCGUGUAUGAAGAAGGCCUUCGGGUUGUAAAGUACUUUCAGCGAGGAGGAAGGCGUUGUGGUUAAUAACCGCAGCGAUUGACGUUACUCGCAAGGAAGCACCGGCUAACUCCGUGCCACAGCCGCGGUAAUACGGAGGGUGCAAGCGUUAAUCGGAAUUACUGGGCGUAAAGCGCACGCAGGGCGGUCUGUCAAGUCGGAUGUGAAAUCCCCGGGGCUCAACCUGGGAACUGAUCCGAAACUGGCAGGGCUAAAAGUCCUUGGUAAGAAGGGGGGGUUAAAAAUUCCCAGGUGUACCGGGA
Molecule: ribosomal RNA, 600 nt
Filed under: uncultured bacterium
Lineage: Bacteria
Description: bacterial SSU rRNA
Rfam family: Bacterial small subunit ribosomal RNA
Source: RNAcentral